UUCGCGUUCAAUGUUGGCUUUGAGCUCUUC
This 30-nucleotide small RNA is filed under the name Bombyx mori (domestic silkworm). RNAcentral describes it as "ovarian small RNA-37414". The record is from RNAcentral. Lineage: Eukaryota; Metazoa; Arthropoda; Insecta; Lepidoptera; Bombycidae.